Molecule: long non-coding RNA, 448 nt
Organism: Falco peregrinus (peregrine falcon)
Lineage: Eukaryota; Metazoa; Chordata; Aves; Falconiformes; Falconidae
Exons: 3
Source: RefSeq, a predicted model, not a curated record
GGAAAUUGGAAGAUAAAAGGGAGGAGUCACAGUUCAGAGCGGAGAAGACUCAAGAUUUGAAAUUCGUAUUGGCUCACCAAGAAGCAGAAUGGAAAAGUGAUAUCCAAAGCCUUAAAUGUUCUUUGAAACAAGAAGAGGCAAAGAGACUCAGAGUAGAAGUGCUGUGUGAGAAAAUGAGAGAAAAACUGCAAAGGAAAGAAGAUCAAUAUUGUAAAGAAAUGGAGGAGAAACAGAAACUUGAGUUACACUCAAGGAAUUUAGAAAUGGAGUUAAGAACACUGAGAAAGCUCUUGAAACAGGUUGAAGAGGAACGUGAUGAAACACAGAGACAGCUCUCUCAGGAAAAGAGGGCCAGAGCCCUUCAAGAAGGAAUUUUGAACAACCACCUUGGGAGACAAAGGGAACUAGAAGAAGAGACGAGAAGAUCUAUAGGAAAAAAAUCAGAGGU